RNAcentral lists this transfer RNA (84 nucleotides) under archaeon. RNAcentral's name for it is "tRNA-Leu". It matches the Rfam family "tRNA". Rfam says of the family: Transfer RNA (tRNA) molecules are approximately 80 nucleotides in length. Their secondary structure includes four short double-helical elements and three loops (D, anti-codon, and T loops). RNAcentral also lists the same sequence under 1 other name. The record is from RNAcentral.
GCACGGGUUGGGGAGCGGUCAAACCCGCAGGGUUUAGGACCCUGUCGCUUAGUGCGUUCAACGGUUCAAAUCCGUUCCCGUGCA